GCGAACGCUAGCGGCGGGCCUAACACAUGCAAGUCGAGCGGGGAGCAAUCCCAGCGGCGCACGGGUGAGUAACGCGUAGGUAAUGUGCCUCUUGGUGGGGAAUAACCUUGGGAAACCAGGGCUAAUACCGCAUAAUGCCCUUCGGGGUGAAAGCAGCAAUGCGCCGAGAGAGCAGCCUGCGUCCCAUUAUUUAUUCCUAGUUGGUGAGGUAACGGCUCACCAAGGGUACGAUGGGUAGCUGGUCUGAGAGGAUGAUCAGCCACACUGGAACUGAGACACGGUCCAGACUCCUACGGGAGGCAGCAGUGGGGAAUAUUGCGCAAUGGGCGAAAGCCUGACGCAGCCACGCCGCGUGAGUGAUGAAGGCCUUCGGGUUGUAAAGCUCUGUCGCAGGGGAAGAACCAAAUGACGGUACCCUGCAAGAAAGCACCGGCUAACUCUGU
RNAcentral lists this ribosomal RNA (443 nucleotides) under uncultured bacterium. RNAcentral describes it as "bacterial SSU rRNA". It matches the Rfam family "Bacterial small subunit ribosomal RNA", at positions 29 to 506 of the family's 1533-position model. The record is from RNAcentral.